GAUGAACGCUGGCGGCGUGCCUAAUACAUGCAAGUCGAGCGAACAGACGAUGAGCUUGCUCCUCUGACGUUAGCGGCGGACGGGUGAGUAACACGUGGAUAACCUACCUAUAAGACUGGUAUAACUUCGGGAAACCGGAGCUAAUACCGGAUAAUAUCUUGAACCACAUGGUUCAAUAGUGAAAGACGGUGUUUCUGUCACUUAUAGCUGAUUCGCGCCGCAUUAGCUAGUUGGUAGGGUAACGGCUUACCAAGGCGACGAUGCGUAGCCGACCUGAGAGGGUGAUCGCCCACACUGGAAGUGAGACACGGACCAGACUCCUACGGGAGGCAGCAGUAGGGAAUGUUCCGCAAUGGGCGAAAGCAUGACGGAGCAACGCCGCGUGAGUGAUGAAGGUCUUCGGAUCGUAAAACUCUGUUAUUAGGGAAGAACAAAUGUGUAAGUAAAUAUGCACGUAUUGACGGUACCUAAUCAGAAAGCCACGGCUAACUACGUG
RNAcentral lists this ribosomal RNA (496 nucleotides) under uncultured bacterium. Its description in RNAcentral is "partial 16S ribosomal RNA". It matches the Rfam family "Bacterial small subunit ribosomal RNA", at positions 28 to 507 of the family's 1533-position model. The record is from RNAcentral.